Molecule: ribosomal RNA, 486 nt
Filed under: uncultured bacterium
Lineage: Bacteria
Description: partial 16S ribosomal RNA
Rfam family: Bacterial small subunit ribosomal RNA
Source: RNAcentral
AUUGAACGCUUUCUUCCUGCCUUCCCCCUGCACGUCGACCGGCAGCACGGGUGCUUGCCCCUGGUGGCGAGUGGCGAACGGGUGAGUAAUACAUCGGAACAUGUCCUGUAGUGGGGGAUAGCCCGGCGAAAGCCGGAUUAAUACCGCAUACGAUCUACGGAUGAAAGCGGGGGACCUUCGGGCCUCGCGCUAUAGGGUUGGCCGAUGGCUGAUUAGCUAGUUGGUGGGGUAAAGGCCUACCAAGGCGACGAUCAGUAGCUGGUCUGAGAGGACGACCAGCCACACUGGGACUGAGACACGGCCCAGACUCCUACGGGAGGCAGCAGUGGGGAAUUUUGGACAAUGGGCGAAAGCCUGAUCCAGCAAUGCCGCGUGUGUGAAGAAGGCCUUCGGGUUGUAAAGCACUUUGGUCCGGAAAGAAAUCCUUGGCCCUAAUACGGUCGGGGGAUGACGGUACCGGAAGAAUAAGCACCGGCUAACUACGUG